GCUGGCGGUAUGCCUAACACAUGCAAGUCGUACGAGAGUUUUUAACUCAAGUGGCGGACGGGUGAGUAACACGUGAGAAUUUACCUUUAGGAGGGGGAUAACAGAGUGAAAACGCUGCUAAUACCCCAUAUGCUUUCGAGUGAAAUGGAUUUAUUCGCCUAAAGAGAAGCUCGCGGCUGAUUAGCUUGUUGGUAAGGUAAUGGCUUACCAAGGCGACGAUCAGUAUCUGGUUUGAGAGGACGAUCAGACACACUGGAACUGAGAC
Molecule: ribosomal RNA, 265 nt
Filed under: uncultured bacterium
Lineage: Bacteria
Description: partial 16S ribosomal RNA
Rfam family: Bacterial small subunit ribosomal RNA
Source: RNAcentral